CACACNGNGGUGUGUUUUACCUGAAGACGGUGCGCUAACCGCAAGGAGGCAGCCGGCCACGGUAGGGUCAGCGACUGGGGUG
This 82-nucleotide ribosomal RNA is filed under the name uncultured bacterium. Its description in RNAcentral is "partial 16S ribosomal RNA". The record is from RNAcentral.